UUCAACGAAAUGCAAGGGGCCCAUAUAGCUAGAUUUUAGAUUAUAAGUGAGGUAGUGGUGAGAGCUGAUGCUGGAAUUUAGUUGGGGAUUAACUGUAGAAAUGUUUUAUUAAAGGAGUUUGGAUUUAAUUGUGAAAAGAAUGGCAGAACCAUUCUUUUCACAAUACUGUUUCUAGUUAUCAUUGCAGAAAUAAUCCUCUAGUGACAAUGGGUAAAAAACAAGGCUUUCAAUAAACUCUGUCUUCAGAGGAGGAAGAAAUAGUGUUCAGGUUUACAAUAUGUGAAAGUAUUUACAUGAGCAUAAUAUAUGUGUUUGGAGAAGGCGUUUUCUGUGGUGCUGUGGUAUAAAAAAUAAGUAAGUCUUCACAUACCCAGAAUAUAAAGUUCAGAGAGCUCUUAACUGAAGUGGAGACUCAGAAAGAUUAUUAUUGAAUUUAUUGCAUGAUGUUUAGCCUUUGUUCUCACCUAUAAUGAUGUACUUUGUAAAUGAGAACAGGCACAGGAGAGUUAGAAAUGAGGAUCUCAAGGAGGAUAAUUCAGGGAUGGAAUGGAUGGUGUUUAGUGUCAUUAGAUGUAGUUGGUGAGGAAGAAGAAAGGAGAUUUUUUGUUUGUGUUUUUGAUGAGCUAAUGGUAUCAUAAAAAUAGUGUAUAUAAGAGAAAGAGAGAACGAUCAUUUCAAGUUUGUAGAUAUUGAAUUU
Molecule: long non-coding RNA, 697 nt
Filed under: Marmota monax (woodchuck)
Lineage: Eukaryota; Metazoa; Chordata; Mammalia; Rodentia; Sciuridae
Source: RNAcentral